ACUGAUGUGUUGUUGGGUAGGGGAGCGUUCUGUAAGCCGUUGAAGGUGUGUCGUGAGGCAUGCUGGAGGUAUCAGAAGUGCGAAUGCUGACAUAAGUAACGAUAAAGCGGGUGAAAAGCCCGCUCGCCGGAAGACCAAGGGUUCCUGUCCAACGUUAAUCGGGGCAGGGUGAGUCGACCCCUAAGGCGAGGCCGAAAGGCGUAGUCGAUGGGAAACGGGUUAAUAUUCCCGUACUUGGUGUUACUGCGAAGGGGGGACGGAGAAGGCUAUGUUGGCCGGGCGACGGUUGUCCCGGUUUAAGCGUGUAGGUGUGUGUUCCAGGUAAAUCCGGUUCACUUUAACACUGAGGCGUGAUGACGAGGCACUACGGUGCUGAAGCAACAAAUGCCCUGCUUCCAGGAAAAGCCUCUAAGCCUCAGGUAACAUCAAAUCGUACCCCAAACCGACACAGGUGGUCAGGUAGAGAAUACCAAGGCGCUUGAGAGAACUCGGGUGAAGGAACUAGGCAAAAUGGUGCCGUAACUUCGGGAGAAGGCACGCUGACACGUAGGUGAAGUGGUUUACCCAUGGAGCUGAAGUCAGUCGAAGAUACCAGCUGGCUGCAACUGUUUAUUAAAAACACAGCACUGUGCAAACACGAAAGUGGACGUAUACGGUGUGACGCCUGCCCGGUGCCGGAAGGUUAAUUGAUGGGGUCAGCGCAAGCGAAGCUCCUGAUCGAAGCCCCGGUAAACGGCGGCCGUAACUAUAACGGUCCUAAGGUAGCGAAAUUCCUUGUCGGGUAAGUUCCGACCUGCACGAAUGGCGUAAUGAUGGCCAGGCUGUCUCCACCCGGGACUCAGUGAAAUUGAACUCGCUGUGAAGAUGCAGUGUACCCGCGGCAAGACGGAAAGACCCCGUGAACCUUUACUAUAGCUUGACACUGAACACUGGUCCUUGAUGUGCAGGAUAGGUGGGAGGCUUUGAAGUGUGGACGCCAGUCUGCAUGGAGCCGUCCUUGAAAUACCACCCUUUAAUGGCUGGUGUUCUAACGUGGGCCCGUGAACCGGGUUGCGGACAGUGUCUGGUGGGUAGUUUGACUGGGGCGGUCUCCUCCUAAAGAGUAACGGAGGAGCACGAAGGUUGGCUAAUCCUGGUCGGACAUCAGGAGGUUAGUGCAAUGGCAUAAGCCAGCUUGACUGCGAGCGUGACGGCGCGAGCAGGUGCGAAAGCAGGUCAUAGUGAUCCGGUGGUUCUGAAUGGAAGGGCCAUCGCUCAACGGAUAAAAGGUACUCCGGGGAUAACAGGCUGAUACCGCCCAAGAGUUCAUAUCGACGGCGGUGUUUGGCACCUCGAUGUCGGCUCAUCACAUCCUGGGGCUGAAGUAGGUCCCAAGGGUAUGGCUGUUCGCCAUUUAAAGUGGUACGCGAGCUGGGUUUAGAACGUCGUGAGACAGUUCGGUCCCUAUCUGCCGUGGGCGCUGGAAGAUUGAGGGGGGCUGCUCCUAGUACGAGAGGACCGGAGUGGACGCAUCACUGGUGUUCGGGUUGUCAUGCCAAUGGCACUGCCCGGUAGCUACAUGCGGAAGAGAUAAGUGCUGAAAGCAUCUAAGCACGAAACUUGCCCCGAGAUGAAUCUUCCCUGAGCCUUUAAGGCUCCUGAAGGAACGUUGAAGACGACGACGUUGAUAGGCCGGGUGUGUAAGCGCAGCGAUGCGUUGAGCUAACCGGUACUAAUGAACCGUGAGGCUUAACCUUACAAC
This 1741-nucleotide ribosomal RNA is filed under the name Salmonella enterica. RNAcentral describes it as "partial 23S ribosomal RNA". It matches the Rfam family "Bacterial large subunit ribosomal RNA", at positions 1211 to 2925 of the family's 2925-position model. The record is from RNAcentral. Lineage: Bacteria; Pseudomonadati; Pseudomonadota; Gammaproteobacteria; Enterobacterales; Enterobacteriaceae.